RNAcentral lists this ribosomal RNA (2718 nucleotides) under Salinivibrio kushneri. RNAcentral describes it as "bacterial LSU rRNA". It matches the Rfam family "Bacterial large subunit ribosomal RNA". The record is from RNAcentral. Lineage: Bacteria; Pseudomonadati; Pseudomonadota; Gammaproteobacteria; Vibrionales; Vibrionaceae.
GUUGUAUGGUUAAGUGACUAAGCGUAGACGGUGGAUGCCUUGGCAGUCAGAGGCGAUGAAGGACGUACUAACCUGCGAAAAGCGAUGGUGAGCUGGUAAGAAGCAUUUGAGCCAUCGAUGUCCGAAUGGGGAAACCCACCUGCAUAAGCAGGUAUCUUAGCGUGAAUACAUAGCGUUUAAGAGGCGAACUCGGGGAACUGAAACAUCUAAGUACCCGAAGGAAAAGAAAUCAAUUGAGAUUCCGGCAGUAGCGGCGAGCGACCCCGGAGCAGCCCUUAAGCGGCUUAGGCGUUAGGUGAACAGGUUGGAAAACCUGGCAAUAAAGGGUGAUAGCCCCGUAACCGACGGCGCCUUAGGCGUGAAAACGAGUARGACGGGACACGUGAUAUCUUGUCUGAASAUGGGGGGACCAUCCUCCAAGGCUAAAUACUCCUGACUGACCGAUAGUGAACCAGUACCGUGAGGGAAAGGCGAAAAGAACCCCUGUGAGGGGAGUGAAAUAGAACCUGAAACCGUCUACGUACAAGCAGUGGGAGCCCCAUCACUAAGACACUUCAUCUUAGUGAGACGCUAUCACUUUAUGGGGUGACCGCGUACCUUUUGUAUAAUGGGUCAGCGACUUAAUGUAAGUAGCCAGGUUAACCGCAUAGGGGAGCCGUAGGGAAACCGAGUCUUAACUGGGCGACAGUUGCUUGCAUUAGACCCGAAACCGAGUGAUCUAGCCAUGGGCAGGUUGAAGGUUGAGUAACAUCAACUGGAGGACCGAACUCACUAACGUUGAAAAGUUAGGAGAUGACCUGUGGCUAGGGGUGAAAGGCCAAUCAAACUCGGAGAUAGCUGGUUCUCCCCGAAAGCUAUUUAGGUAGCGCCUCGGACGAACACUACUGGGGGUAGAGCACUGUUAAGGCUAGGGGGUCAUCCCGACUUACCAACCCUUUGCAAACUCCGAAUACCAGUAAGUGCUAUCCGGGAGACACACGGCGGGUGCUAACGUCCGUCGUGGAGAGGGAAACAACCCAGACCGCCAGCUAAGGUCCCCAAGUUAUCGCUAAGUGGGAAACGAUGUGGGAAGGCUCAGACAGCCAGGAUGUUGGCUUAGAAGCAGCCAUCAUUUAAAGAAAGCGUAAUAGCUCACUGGUCGAGUCGGCCUGCGCGGAAGAUGUAACGGGGCUAAGCGAUACACCGAAGCUGCGGCAAUGUCCUUAUGGAUAUUGGGUAGGGGAGCGUUGUGUAAGCUGUUGAAGGUGUGCUGAGAGGCAUGCUGGAGGUAUCACAAGUGCGAAUGCUGACAUGAGUAACGAUAAAGGGGGUGAAAAACCUCCUCGCCGGAAGACCAAGGGUUCCUGUCCAACGUUAAUCGGGGCAGGGUAAGUCGGCCCCUAAGGCGAGGCCGAAAGGCGUAGUCGAUGGGAAACGGGUUAAUAUUCCCGUACUGCUGCUUACUGCGAUGGGGGGACGGAGAAGGCUAGGUGGGCCUGGCGAUGGUUGUCCAGGUUCAAGUGCGUAGGCUGAUUUCUUAGGCAAAUCCGGGAAAUCAAGGCCGAGACACGAUGUCGAGCCACCAAGGUGGUGAAGUCAUUGAUGCCAUGCUUCCGGGAAAAGCCUCUAAGCUUCAGGUAAGUAGGAACCGUACUCCAAACCGACACAGGUGGUCGGGUAGAGAAUACCAAGGCGCUUGAGAGAACUCGGGUGAAGGAACUAGGCAAAAUGGUACCGUAACUUCGGGAGAAGGUACGCUGCCCGCGGUGAAGUCCCUWGCGGAUGGAGCUAUGGGCAGUCGCAGAUACCAGGUGGCUGCAACUGUUUAUUAAAAACACAGCACUGUGCAAAAUCGAAAGAUGACGUAUACGGUGUGACGCCUGCCCGGUGCCGGAAGGUUAAUUGAUGUGGUUAUCGCAAGAGAAGCCAUUGAUUGAAGCCCCGGUAAACGGCGGCCGUAACUAUAACGGUCCUAAGGUAGCGAAAUUCCUUGUCGGGUAAGUUCCGACCUGCACGAAUGGCGUAAUGAUGGCCACGCUGUCUCCACCCGAGACUCAGUGAAAUUGAAAUCGCAGUGAAGAUGCUGUGUACCCGCGGCUAGACGGAAAGACCCCGUGAACCUUUACUACAGCUUGGCACUGAACAUUGAGCCUACAUGUGUAGGAUAGGUGGGAGGCUUUGAARCGGCGACGCCAGUUGCUGUGGAGCCAUCCUUGAAAUACCACCCUUGUAUGUUUGAUGUUCUAACUUAGCCCCRUUAUCYGGGGUGAGGACAGUGCCUGGUGGGUAGUUUGACUGGGGCGGUCUCCUCCCAAAGUGUAACGGAGGAGCACGAAGGUGGGCUAAUCACGGUCGGACAUCGUGAGGUUAGUGCAAUGGCAUAAGCCCGCUUAACUGCGAGAGUGACGGCUCGAGCAGGUACGAAAGUAGGUCAUAGUGAUCCGGUGGUUCUGAAUGGAAGGGCCAUCGCUCAACGGAUAAAAGGUACUCCGGGGAUAACAGGCUGAUACCGCCCAAGAGUUCAUAUCGACGGCGGUGUUUGGCACCUCGAUGUCGGCUCAUCACAUCCUGGGGCUGAAGUCGGUCCCAAGGGUAUGGCUCAUCCCUAGAGCCUCGAGCUCUCUAAAGGGUUGUUCUAGACUAGAACGUUGAUAGGCAGGGUGUGUAAGCGCUGUGAGGCGUUGAGCUAACCUGUACUAAUGGCCCGUGAGGCUUAACCAUACAACACCCAAGGGGUUU